Molecule: ribosomal RNA, 872 nt
Filed under: Inonotus chihshanyenus
Lineage: Eukaryota; Fungi; Basidiomycota; Agaricomycetes; Hymenochaetales; Hymenochaetaceae
Description: eukaryotic LSU rRNA
Rfam family: Eukaryotic large subunit ribosomal RNA
Source: RNAcentral
UAACAAGGAUUCCCCUAGUAACUGCGAGUGAAGCGGGAAAAGCUCAAAUUUAAAAUCUGGCGGUCUUGUGGCCGGCCGAGUUGUAGUCUGGAGAAGUGUUAUCCGCGUCGGACCGUGUACAAGUCUCCUGGAAUGGAGCGUCAUAGAGGGUGAGAAUCCCGUCCAUGACACGGACGACCGAUGCUAUGUGAGGCACUCUCAAAGAGUCGAGUUGUUUGGGAAUGCAGCUCAAAAUGGGUGGUAAAUUCCAUCUAAAGCUAAAUAUUGGCGAGAGACCGAUAGCGAACAAGUACCGUGAGGGAAAGAUGAAAAGCACUUUGGAAAGAGAGUUAAACAGUACGUGAAAUUGUUGAAAGGGAAACGCUUGAAGUCAGUCGCGUUCCGUGGAACUCAGCCUUGCUUCGGCCUGGUGUACUUUCUGCGGGACGGGUCAACAUCAGUUUUGGCCGGUGGAAAAAGGCAGAGGGAAUGUAGCGCCGUUUCGGCGGCGUGUUAUAGCCCUUUGUCGAAUACACUGGCUGGGACUGAGGACUGCAGCACGCCCUUGUGGCCGGGGGUUCGCCCCACGUAACGUGCUUAGGAUGUUGGCAUAAUGGCUUUAAGCGACCCGUCUUGAAACACGGACCAAGGAGUCUAACAUGCCUGCGAGUGUUCGGGUGGAAAACCCUUGCGCGUAAUGAAAGUGAAAGUUGGGAACCUCCGCAAGGGGGUGCACCGACGCCCGGCCCUGAAGUUCUCUGACGGUGCUGCGGUAGAGCAAGUAUGUUGGGACCCGAAAGAUGGUGAACUAUGCCUGAAUAGGGCGAAGCCAGAGGAAACUCUGGUGGAGGCUCGUAGCGAUUCUGACGUGCAAAUCGAUCGUCAAAUUUGGG